Molecule: ribosomal RNA, 414 nt
Filed under: uncultured microorganism
Description: bacterial SSU rRNA
Rfam family: Archaeal small subunit ribosomal RNA
Source: RNAcentral
CAGCCGCCGCGGUAAUACCGGCGGCCCGAGUGGUGGCCGCUAUUAUUGGGCCUAAAGCGUCCGUAGCCGGGCCCGUAAGUCCCUGGCGAAAUCCCACGGCUCAACCGUGGGGCUUGCUGGGGAUACUGCGGGCCUUGGGACCGGGAGAGGAGGGGGGUACCCCUGGGGUAGGGGUGAAAUCCUAUAAUCCCAGGGGGACCGCCAGUGGCGAAGGCGCCCCGCUGGAACGGGUCCGACGGUGAGGGACGAAGGCCAGGGGAGCAAACCGGAUUAGAUACCCGGGUAGUCCUGGCUGUAAAGGAUGCGGGCUAGGUGUCGGGUGAGCUUCGAGCUCGCCCGGUGCCGUAGGGAAGCCGUUAAGCCCGCCGCCUGGGGAGUACGGCCGCAAGGCUGAAACUUAAAGGAAUUGGCGGG